GUCCCUUGUGGACAUACAAUAAAAUUAGAAUGAUACAAGGAAGAUUAGCAUGACCUUUGUGAAAGGAUGACAUGCAUAAAUCAAGAAACAAUUGUUCUGAGU
Prosopis cineraria is the source of this 102-nucleotide small nuclear RNA. The record is from RefSeq and is a predicted model, not a curated record. NCBI's taxonomy places the organism in Eukaryota, Viridiplantae, Streptophyta, Magnoliopsida, Fabales, Fabaceae.